CCUCACACUGAGACAACACUGACAGCUUUUCUGCCUGCCUGGGGAUGUUGGAGCAGCCUAAGCAGCUUAUGCAGGGAUCUUCUGGUCUUUUUACCCUCUGGCCAGGUGCAGCUAUGUUGCAGUGAGGCCUGUCACCGGAAGCAAUGGGAUUUUUGGCAUGUUUGAAUGGGGAAUGCAGGAAGGAGAGUGAAAGGCAUCUCCACUUUCCACUGUGUUGGAGCAAUGGAGCCCAGUUUGCAGGAACUCCCAGGAAAAGCCCAUUUGAAGUUUGCAUGCUUCAGCACUGCCAUACAGCAGAAGUGCUGGGCUGAGAUGGCAAAGCUCUACCAGAGCCUCCAGCUUAAACCUAAUGAGGGACAAAAAUUCUUCAUCCGCCACUGCUGUGACCACUUCUCUUCAGUCUGUGUUCUGCAAUUACCACAUUUAAAAGGGACACUGCUUAACACAGUGGGGGUUCAAGUUCAUUGGGAAAUUUUUC
RNAcentral lists this long non-coding RNA (478 nucleotides) under Zonotrichia albicollis (white-throated sparrow). RNAcentral's name for it is "lncRNA (ENSZALG00000011294.1)". Lineage: Eukaryota; Metazoa; Chordata; Aves; Passeriformes; Passerellidae. The record is from RNAcentral.